RNAcentral lists this ribosomal RNA (450 nucleotides) under uncultured bacterium. RNAcentral's name for it is "partial 16S ribosomal RNA". It matches the Rfam family "Bacterial small subunit ribosomal RNA", at positions 354 to 796 of the family's 1533-position model. The record is from RNAcentral.
GUGGGGAAUUUUGGACAAUGGGCGCAAGCCUGAUCCAGCAAUGCCGCGUGCAGGAUGAAGGCCUUCGGGUUGUAAACUGCUUUUGUACGGAGCGAAAAGGCUUCCACUAAUACUGGGGGCUCAUGACGGUACCGUAAGAAUAAGCACCGGCUAACUACGUGCCAGCAGCCGCGGUAAUACGUAGGGUGCAAGCGUUAAUCGGAAUUACUGGGCGUAAAGCGUGCGCAGGCGGUUUUGUAAGACAGGCGUGAAAUCCCCGGGCUCAACCUGGGAAUGGCGCUUGUGACUGCAAAGCUGGAGUGCGGCAGAGGGGGAUGGAAUUCCGCGUGUAGCAGUGAAAUGCGUAGAUAUGCGGAGGAACACCGAUGGCGAAGGCAAUCCCCUGGGCCUGCACUGACGCUCAUGCACGAAAGCGUGGGGAGCAAACAGGAUUAGAAACCCGUGUAGUCC